AGGUUAAGUGAAUAAGGGCGCACGGUGGAUGCCUUGGCACUAGGAGCCGAUGAAGGACGGGACUAACACCGAUAUGCUUUGGGGAGCUGUAAGUAAGCUAUGAUCCAGAGAUUUCCGAAUGGGGGAACCCAGCAUCUUUUAUAGGAUGUUACGUCUGCGUGAAUACAUAGCGCAGUCGAGGUAGACGCAGAGAACUGAAACAUCUAAGUACCUGCAGGAAGAGAAAGAAAAUUCGAUUCCCUGAGUAGCGGCGAGCGAAACGGGAAAAGCCCAAACCAACAAGCUUGCUUGUUGGGGUUGUAGGACUCCGAUAUGGUAGUCUAUUCAGAUAGUCGAAAUACUUGGAAAAGUAUGUCAAAGAGGGUAAAAACCCCGUAGGCGAAAUUUGGAUAACACCUAGGAGGAUCCUGAGUACGGCGGAACACGAGGAAUUCCGUCGGAAUCCGGGAGGACCAUCUCCCAAGGCUAAAUACUCCCUAGUGACCGAUAGUGAACCAGUACCGUGAGGGAAAGGUGAAAAGCACCCCGGAAGGGGAGUGAAAUAGAUCCUGAAACCGUGUGCCUACAACAAGUUAGAGCCCGUUAAUGGGUGAUAGCGUGCCUUUUGUAGAAUGAACCGGCGAGUUACGAUAGCAUGCGAGGUUAAGUUGAAGAGACGGAGCCGUAGCGAAAGCGAGUCUGAAUAGGGCGAAUGAGUAUGUUGUCGUAGACCCGAAACCAUGUGAUCUACCCAUGUCCAGGUUGAAGGUGCGGUAAAACGCACUGGAGGACCGAACCCACGUACGUUGAAAAGUGCGGGGAUGAGGUGUGGGUAGCGGAGAAAUUCCAAACGAACUUGGAGAUAGCUGGUUCUCUCCGAAAUAGCUUUAGGGCUAGCCUCGGAAUUGAGAAUGAUGGAGGUAGAGCACUGUUUGGACUAGGGGCCCAUCUCGGGUUACCGAAUUCAGAUAAACUCCGAAUGCCAUUCAUUCAUAUCCGGGAGUCAGACUGUGAGUGAUAAGAUCCAUAGUCGAAAGGGAAACAGCCCAGACCACCAGCUAAGGUCCCCAAAUAACUAUUAAGUGGAAAAGGAUGUGGGGUUGCACAGACAACUAGGAUGUUGGCUUAGAAGCAGCCACCAUUUAAAGAGUGCGUAAUAGCUCACUAGUCGAGUGACCCUGCGCCGAAAAUGUACCGGGGCUAAAUAGUUUACCGAAGCUGUGGAGUGCACCAUCAGGUGCAUUGGUAGGAGAGCGUUCUAAGGGCGUUGAAGGCAGAUCGUGAGGACUGCUGGAGCGCUUAGAAGUGAGAAUGCCGGUAUGAGUAGCGAAAGACAGGUGAGAAUCCUGUCCACCGAAUGACUAAGGUUUCCUGGGGAAGGCUCGUCCGCCCAGGGUUAGUCGGGACCUAAGCCGAGGCCGACAGGCGUAGGCGAUGGACAACAGGUUGAUAUUCCUGUACCCGUUGUUUUUGUUUGAGCAAUGGAGGGACGCAGGAGGCUAAGAAGUGCAGACUGAUGGAUAUGUCUGUUCAAGCAGUAAGUCUUGGUAGGAGUCAAAUGCUUCUACCUAUACGGACAAGCUGUGAUGAGGAGGGAAAUAAUAGUACCGAAGCUUCUGAUGUCACACUGCCAAGAAAAGCUUCUAGUGAGAAAACAACGGCCCGUACCGCAAACCGACACAGGUAGUCGAGGAGAGAAUCCUAAGGUGAGCGAGAGAACUCUCGUUAAGGAACUCGGCAAAAUGACCCCGUAACUUCGGGAGAAGGGGUGCUGCUCUAACGAGCAGCCGCAGUGAAUAGGCCCAAGCGAC
Molecule: ribosomal RNA, 1790 nt
Filed under: Listeria monocytogenes
Lineage: Bacteria; Bacillati; Bacillota; Bacilli; Caryophanales; Listeriaceae
Description: partial 23S ribosomal RNA
Rfam family: Bacterial large subunit ribosomal RNA
Source: RNAcentral